RNAcentral lists this ribosomal RNA (478 nucleotides) under uncultured bacterium. RNAcentral describes it as "partial 16S ribosomal RNA". It matches the Rfam family "Bacterial small subunit ribosomal RNA", at positions 28 to 523 of the family's 1533-position model. The record is from RNAcentral.
GACGAACGCUGGCGGCGUGCUUAACACAUGCAAGUCGAACGGUAAGGCCCUUCGGGGUACACGAGUGGCGAACGGGUGAGUAACACGUGGGUGAUCUGCCCUGCACUUCGGGAUAAGCCUGGGAAACUGGGUCUAAUACCGGAUAGGACCCUGGGAUGCAUGUCCUGGGGUGGAAAGCUUUUGCGGUGUGGGAUGGGCCCGCGGCCUAUCGGCUUGUUGGUGGGGUGAUGGCCUACCAAGGCGACGACGGGUAGCCGGCCUGAGAGGGUGACCGGCCACACUGGGACUGAGAUACGGCCCAGACUCCUACGGGAGGCAGCAGUGGGGAAUAUUGCACAAUGGGCGCAAGCCUGAUGCAGCGACGCCGCGUGAGGGAUGACGGCCUUCGGGUUGUAAACCUCUUUCAGCGCCGACGAAGCGCAAGUGACGGUAGGUGCAGAAGAAGGACCGGCCAACUACGUGCCAGCAGCCGCAGUAA